UGUUUAACUGACAUGAUUGUGGGACGUCCUACCGGUGGACUUAGCCUCUAUCUCUCCGGAUUUAGGGGCGGUCCAGCUAAUAUCCCAUCGCGGUGCUUUUCAUCGAGUGUCGAGGUGGGCCGGUACGUUUACUUUGAACAAAUUAGAGUGCUCAAAGCAGGCCAUCCUCGCCUGAAUACUGUGUGCAUGGAAUAAUGGAAUAGG
This 204-nucleotide ribosomal RNA is filed under the name Kapala nr. furcata UCRC ENT00092093. RNAcentral's name for it is "partial 18S ribosomal RNA". Lineage: Eukaryota; Metazoa; Arthropoda; Insecta; Hymenoptera; Eucharitidae. The record is from RNAcentral.